This is a long non-coding RNA of Papaver somniferum (opium poppy), 3056 nucleotides long. RefSeq lists it as uncharacterized. Lineage: Eukaryota; Viridiplantae; Streptophyta; Magnoliopsida; Ranunculales; Papaveraceae. The transcript has 5 exons. The record is from RefSeq and is a predicted model, not a curated record.
GUUCAUCUCCUCUCUUCCAUACCUUCUGUUCCAUUGCGCUGAAGAACCGAACCAAAUCCAAUCUCAAAUCCACUCUUCCAUUUCCUCUCUUCCAUUGCUCUGAAGAACCGAACCAAAUCAAAUCAAUCUAAAAUCCUCUCUUCCAUCUCCUCUCUUCCAUUUCUCUGAAGAACUGAACCAAAUCCAAUCAAUCUAAAACCACUGAAAUCAACCAGGUUUUAAGUUUCUACCAUAUUUUUCCUUUGCAUAAUCGUUUCAUUUCAGUUUAUUGAUUCUAGGGUUUUACGAUUUUAGAGAUUUUGAUUUCAGGGUUUCAACUGUGAAUCUUUUUUUUUCAUUUUAGUUUAUCGAUUUUUAGGUUUUCAUCUGUGAAUCUGUUUUUUUUUUGAUUUUAUGGAUUUUGAUUUCAGUUUUCGAUUUUAGUUUUUCGUUUGUGAAUCGAUUUUAGGGUUUCAUUUCAAUUAGGGUUUCCAAUUUUCUAUAAUUUUGAGCUUUUCUAAUUGAUUUCUUGUACUCAAAAAAUACAAGGAUGAACCAGUUGAGGAUGUUAUGGUAAGUGGAUCAAUCAAUUUUUUUAUUUUUUUUUGGUUUUUUUUUUUCUUUUUCUUUUUUGUAUAAUUUGUUUGAUUUUAUUUAUUGUGUUUGCAAUUGCAAUUGUGAUAUUUGUAAGAAUGUGAUGAAGUGGAUGUUGAAAAUAACAAUGAAUAUGAUGCUUCUGAGGGUGUGUUUGUAGAAGGUGUAUUGAAAAGGGUAUAAAUCUUAUUUUUGAUCUCUUAAUUAAUUUUGUUAGUCGUAUUAGUUGGAUUCACCUUGACUGUUCGCUCGACUUAAUUCAGCUGUCCUCAGAGUAAGAUAUUCUGCGGAUUCGAAUUACCAAGGGGAUAGUGCAUAUUUGGCUACAUGAACCAAUGAUCUCUCGACAGUUUCUUGGUCUUGUGGGCGGAGGGGACAUGUGUCAAUGGAGGGUCAAAGCUGUUUUAGUUAUAGGGUUCGUUUGCAUGCUGAAAAUGGCUUGUGCAUUGUGCAAAUUUGCUUUGAAAGCCAAGGGUUGCGGAUGAAUUAACUUGUGGGAAGAAGAUAAGUACACCUUAUUAUUUCCUUGUUUAUUACUCUCUCCGUUCCGAUUUACUUGACGUUGUAGAAUUUUUUCACGGUUAUUAAGAAAUAUCAGAGAGAGUAAAAUCUUCCCAAUAAAAUCCAUAUUAAUUCCUACUUACAGAUUUAAAUAACCUAGUUUUGUGUUUCUAGAAUAUAGAGAAAGUUAUCAAUCCCAUAAUAAUGUAGUUGGGAUGUACAAGAUUGAGUAUAUAUCCUUCAUGGGGUGUAUUUAAAAAUUAUAGAGUAAAUGUUUUUGUGCUGAUUACCAUGAGAAUUAAUUCUCUGGUGUGAUUCUAAAGCAGGGAUAUAUUAGUGAAAAUUGGGAAAGAAACUAAAACUAUCAUCUAAUUUGGAACACAAAAAAAACCCUGAAAAAGCAAGUAAAAUGGAACGGAGGGAGUAGCAUCUAAUAGAUGUCCUUGAAAUCUACUCUUGUAGACAAGUGUAUAUGAACUCCCAUUUUCAUGUCUUGUCUUGAAAUUGUUUGUUGAAUUGCAUCCAAAAUUUUGGUGCUUUUGUCAAGACUUUCAAAUCUUGUCGGUUUGGAAAAUACUGAGUCGCUGCCAUGGUACUAGCAAAUGUUUUCUAUUUAUUUCUUGCAAUACUUGCUCAUCUGAUAUUUGUUAGACCCUAUAGAAACUUAUGUAGUUAUUCAUAAUUUUACGUACCUUCACUGGAUUUCCUGUCAAUUUUGACACUAGGGUACAUCAUGAAUUGUGAAAAGGUUUAAUGACUUAGGUUUUACGUAUAGGGAUAGAAUAAAAUGUUAAUGGGAUUAUUGCCAUCUGGUAAAAAAUUGUAUCUGCAAAACCAAUUAAAAGGAAAGAGUAAUUCUUAAGUUCUCAAAAGCAUCUGCACUUCAGUGCUUUCCUGAAGCUUGAGAUUUUGAAUACAGAUGCGCGCCUGAUUUGUUAGUCGAUAGAAUUGGACCGUGAAUAUAUUCAUUUUUCUGAAGUUAUACUUCUCAUGUUUCAUUUAUAUUUUGAAGUGGUAGGUAAGACUUGUGGCAGUAUAUUUGAUUUGAAGCAAUGUGGCAGUGUAUUUUGAUUUGUACACGGUACGCGAGUAUCUUAGAUCAUUAGGAUCUCUCGAGAUACAAAACAGUAAAAUUAAACCGAUAAAUGUAAAUAGAACGAUGGGAUUUAACAGGUCAUGUCACCUCUUUGACUUUAUCAUGUUCUUUUAAAUAUCUUAUGUCGUAUUUGUCCGGAUUCUUGUAAGUUUGAAUGACUUGUUUAGUAUUUAUUGGAUAUUGAUACUGGCUAAUGUGGACUACAGGUUUUCUUAUCAGGAUUGUUGUUGUGUGCAGUAAAGAGCAUAGUUAAUGCUUGAAAAUGUGAAACUCCAUGAAUCCGGAGAAGUAGAUAAAUGGUGGUUGUCAAAUGACUACUUCCCUUCACAUAGUUAGGUAUCCAUUCAUCCAGAUCAUCAAAGCUUCCACAAUCCCUGUUAAGCUUUGCAAGAGAGAGAGCAAAAAACAAUUCCACAAGAAGGACAUCAAGUUCCCAUUGCUGCAGAACUGGUACAGGACGCCCAUGAGAAGGAGAGCUUGCUGCAGAAGAUUGCUGACCUGAUGGGAACCAUCAACACAAUAAACCACUUCGCCCUUCGUACUGAGAUUUAGUGGUGCAACCAGAGGUGCAGUUUGGGGAUCCAACAGAAGAAUAUCCUCUAGUGAUAUACUGGUGCUAAUGGAAAGAAAGGUGGUACAAGUUGGGCAUCAAGCAGCUUAUUUUUCGAAGGAGGGAAAGACCCCUGCAAGAUGAAGCGGCAAGAUGAUCAAAUGUCCAAGUCAAGUGCAUGCAAUUCAUCUCUUGUAGCAAGUUACCAAACCUACUCUUCAUGUUUUUGUAGAUGUAUAGAUCAUGUGUUGAUUUGCUGUGAUACUUGUACUUCAAACUUUCAAUUUCAUCUCGGUAAGUUUGUUGUGAUUCUUGUAUAUAUUUGUAUGUACUACU